This 519-nucleotide ribosomal RNA is filed under the name Oncomelania hupensis hupensis. RNAcentral's name for it is "partial large subunit ribosomal RNA". It matches the Rfam family "Bacterial large subunit ribosomal RNA", at positions 1811 to 2605 of the family's 2925-position model. Lineage: Eukaryota; Metazoa; Mollusca; Gastropoda; Littorinimorpha; Pomatiopsidae. The record is from RNAcentral.
AAACAUGGCUCUUUGAGAUUUAUAUAUAAAGAGUCGGGCCUGCCCAGUGAUGUAUUUUUAACGGCCGCGGUACUCUGACCGUGCGAAGGUAGCAUAAUCAUUUGCCCUAUAAUUGAGGGCUAGUAUGAAUGGUUUGACAUGAGCAUAACUGUCUCCUUAAAAUUUUAUAAAAUUUGGUUUUUAGGUGAAGAAACCUAAAUUAAAUUGAAAGACAAGAAGACCCUAUCGAGCUUUAGAAUAAUUAGUUAAAAAAUAUAAAUAAAACAAUUAAUUUUAAUUAAAAACUUUGGUUGGGGCGACUGAGGAACAUAUAAAGCUUCCUUAAUUAAACAAUGCUGAUAAGCAAUGAUCCAGAAAAUCUGAUUAAAAAAAUUAGUUACCGUAGGGAUAACAGCAUAAUCUUUUUUGAGAGCUCUUAUCGAAAAAAAGGUUUGUGACCUCGAUGUUGGACUAGGAUAUCCUAAAGAUGUAGAAGUCUUUAAUGGUUGCUCUGUUCGAGCAUAAAAAUCCUACGUGAUC